This 366-nucleotide long non-coding RNA is filed under the name Bos taurus (domestic cattle). Its description in RNAcentral is "long non-coding RNA NONBTAT023669". The record is from RNAcentral. Lineage: Eukaryota; Metazoa; Chordata; Mammalia; Artiodactyla; Bovidae.
GAGACCCCUCAGCUGUCUGAGCAGGCAGGUGCAGUGCCCCACAUGUGAGACCCCAGUGCUUUGUAGCCUGCACACUAUCAUAUUAGCAUUUUUUUUUAAUCACUGAUUUUCUCCUCCAGAGUCACAAGACAAGCUGUUCUCAGACAAUCACAUCUUAAGCGUGAUUUCUAUUUUAAAAUGCAUGUGUGAAACCUACUAACUACUAAUUAUUCUGCUUUAAAUAUUCUUCAGCAAGUGGGAGAAAAUUUCAACAACAGAAUGCUAUAUUAAAAUUUUAGAGGCAUCAUGUCGUAAAAUAUAUCAAGAUGAUACUUGACUUAAAAAAUGGUGCAUGUGUGUGUAUGUGCCUGAAUAUAUAACUGAAGC